RNAcentral lists this ribosomal RNA (466 nucleotides) under uncultured bacterium. RNAcentral's name for it is "partial 16S ribosomal RNA". It matches the Rfam family "Bacterial small subunit ribosomal RNA", at positions 28 to 507 of the family's 1533-position model. The record is from RNAcentral.
GAUGAACGCUGGCGGCGUGCUUAACACAUGCAAGUCGAACGGUGAAGCCAAGCUUGCUUGGUGGCUCAGUGGCGAACGGGUGAGUAACACGUGAGCAACCUGCCCUGGACUCUGGGAUAAGCGCUGGAAACGGCGUCUAAUACUGGAUAUGAGCCUCUUCCGCAUGGUGGGGGUUGGAAAGAUUUUUUGGUCUGGGAUGGGCUCGCGGCCUAUCAGCUUGUUGGUGAGGUAAUGGCUCACCAAGGCGUCGACGGGUAGCCGGCCUGAGAGGGUGACCGGCCACACUGGGACUGAGAAACGGCCCAGACUCCUACGGGAGGCAGCAGUGGGGAAUAUUGCACAAUGGGCGAAAGCCUGAUGCAGCAACGCCGCGUGAGGGAUGACGGCCUUCGGGUUGUAAACCUCUUUUAGCAGGGAAGAAGCGAAAGUGACGGUACCUGCAGAAAAAGCGCCGGCUAACUACGUG